UACGGAGGAUGCGAGCGUUAUCCGGAUUUAUUGGGUUUAAAGGGUGCGUAGGCGGAUUGAUAAGUCAGUGGUGAAAUCCUGCAGCUUAACUGUAGCAUUGCCGUUGAUACUGUCAGUCUUGAGUAUGGUUAAGGUAGGCGGAAUGUGUAAUGUAGCGGUGAAAUGCUUAGAUAUUACACAGAACACCGAUUGCGAAGGCAGCUUACUGAACCAUAACUGACGCUGAGGCACGAAAGCGUGGGGAGCGAACAGG
Molecule: ribosomal RNA, 253 nt
Filed under: uncultured bacterium
Lineage: Bacteria
Description: partial 16S ribosomal RNA
Rfam family: Bacterial small subunit ribosomal RNA
Source: RNAcentral